This 985-nucleotide long non-coding RNA is filed under the name Suricata suricatta (meerkat). Its description in RNAcentral is "lncRNA (ENSSSUG00005006792.1)". The record is from RNAcentral. Lineage: Eukaryota; Metazoa; Chordata; Mammalia; Carnivora; Herpestidae.
CUCGAAGGACUCCUCACGACCUCUUCCACCCGGAUUUGAAUCAGAGCACCGGUCCAGCCCCCGCUGUGUUCCCAGGGAAGAAAGGAGCUCGAGAGAGGAGGACAAGGUUUUGCCCAAGGUUGCUCGCUCAUUCAUUCACUCACUCACUCAGCAAAUCCUUAUGGAGCACCUACCCCUAGAUGCGGGGUCCUGUGGUUACAGUUGUGGACAAAACGGUGGUAGGGAAGAAAUGGAAGAACCCUGAGGGUUAGAAGCCGAGCCUGAGAAUCUGGAGGGGGUGAAAACACAAAACAGAUUGUGAGGCUAGGAGUUCCAAGAAAUAGGGAAUUGUUCAAAACCAGGAAACAAGAAAACAUUCUCCUCUUAUCCUUCCUUGAAAGGCUUCGUUUUUCUCUCUAAAGAUACUCGACUCAGCAAAGUUCCCUUCUCCUCCCUGUGCUGCGAACGCUUGCUGGAAAAAGCUGGAUGGCCGUUGGAAUGCAUUUUGCAGUUAGAGAAGAAUAUGGGGACUUUUAGACAUCAAGCAGAACAAGCGAAAGGGAGCAACGGUGGUUUGGUACAAUGAGGGUUACUUUCAGACACGGAUUUGGCUCUCACCUGCCACACAACCUUUGGCAAGUCAUUCAACCUCUGGGAGCUUCAUUUCCUCAUCUUCAGGAUGGAACUUAUCAUCCUUACUGCUCACAGUUCUGCGGGACUGUGAAGGGAAAGGAAGUUGCCCAGUGACUGAACAUCCCAUUAGGAACUUCCUCACCAAACCCAAGCAAGAGAUCAGGCGAGAUUUGUCCUGGGCAGAUCUUUGGAGUGAGGCUGUCUGUGCUGGCCAGAUGGUGAAACUGUGACUGAGGAGAUGUUGAUUCCAGAGUAUCAUUCCUGAAAAGUCAUAAUCUCACACUUUCAAGAGACCCCCACGGAGGUGUUGCCAGGGAAGUCAAAAUUUAGAAGCCUCCUCUGAAAGGAAAGAGAAGACUCAAGAGAUCGAUGU